AGUCGAGCGGUAACAGGGGGUGCUUGCACCCCGCUGACGAGCGGGGAMRGGKGAGUAAUGCAUAGGAAACUGCCCAGUAGUGGGGGAUAGCCCGGGGAAACCCGGAUUAAUACCGCGYACGCCCUUCGGGGGAAAGCRGGGGAUCUUCRGACCUUGCGCUAUUGGAUGUGCCUAUGUCRGAUUAGCUASUUGGUGGGGUAAAGGCCUACCAAGGCGACKAUCCGUAKCUGGUCUG
Molecule: ribosomal RNA, 235 nt
Filed under: Marinobacter sp. KUAC3057 cb 121
Lineage: Bacteria; Pseudomonadati; Pseudomonadota; Gammaproteobacteria; Pseudomonadales; Marinobacteraceae
Description: partial 16S ribosomal RNA
Rfam family: Bacterial small subunit ribosomal RNA
Source: RNAcentral